RNAcentral lists this ribosomal RNA (497 nucleotides) under uncultured bacterium. Its description in RNAcentral is "partial 16S ribosomal RNA". It matches the Rfam family "Bacterial small subunit ribosomal RNA", at positions 28 to 507 of the family's 1533-position model. The record is from RNAcentral.
GAUGAACGCUGGCGGCGUGCCUAAUACAUGCAAGUCGAGCGAACGGACGAGAAGCUUGCUUCUCUGAUGUUAGCGGCGGACGGGUGAGUAACACGUGGAUAACCUACCUAUAAGACUGGGAUAACUUCGGGAAACCGGAGCUAAUACCGGAUGAUAUUUUGAACCGCAUGGUUCAAAAGUGAAAGACGGUCUUGCUGUCACUUAUAGAUGGAUCCGCGCUGCAUUAGCUAGUUGGUAAGGUAACGGCUUACCAAGGCAACGAUGCAUAGCCGACCUGAGAGGGUGAUCGGCCACACUGGAACUGAGACACGGUCCAGACUCCUACGGGAGGCAGCAGUAGGGAAUAUUCCGCAAUGGGCGAAAGCCUGACGGAGCAACGCCGCGUGAGUGAUGAAGGUCUUCGGAUCGUAAAACUCUGUUAUUAGGGAAGAACAUAUGUGUAAGUAACUGUGCACACCUUGACGGUACCUAAUCAGAAAGCCACGGCUAACUACGUG